RNAcentral lists this ribosomal RNA (433 nucleotides) under uncultured Anaerovorax sp. Its description in RNAcentral is "bacterial SSU rRNA". It matches the Rfam family "Bacterial small subunit ribosomal RNA", at positions 341 to 792 of the family's 1533-position model. The record is from RNAcentral. Lineage: Bacteria; Bacillati; Bacillota; Clostridia; Peptostreptococcales; Anaerovoracaceae.
ACGGGAGGCAGCAGUGGGGAAUAUUGCACAAUGGGGGAAACCCUGAUGCAGCAACGCCGCGUGAAGGAUGAAGGUCUUCGGAUCGUAAACUUCUGUCCUUAGGGAAGAUAAUGACGGUACCUUUGGAGGAAGCCCCGGCUAACUACGUGCCAGCAGCCGCGGUAAUACGUAGGGGGCAAGCGUUAUCCGGAAUUAUUGGGCGUAAAGAGUGCGUAGGUGGUUACCUAAGCAGGGGGUGAAAGGCAUUGGCUUAACCAAUGUUAGCCCCCUGAACUGGGCUACUUGAGUGCAGGAGGGGAAAGCGGAGUUCCUAGUGUAGCGGUGAAAUGCGUAGAUAUUAGGAGGAACACCGGUGGCGAAGGCGGCUUUCUGGACUGUAACUGACACUGAGGCACGAAAGUGUGGGGAGCAAACAGGAUUAGAUACCCUGGUA